AUUGAACGCUGGCGGCAUGCCUUACACAUGCAAGUCGAACGGAUCCUUCGGGAUUAGUGGCGGACGGGUGAGUAACGCGUGGGAACAUACCCUUUGGUACGGAAUAGCCUCGGGAAACUGGGAGUAAUACCGUAUGUGGUCGAGAGACGAAAGAUUUAUCGCCAAAGGAUUGGCCCGCGUUGGAUUAGGUAGUUGGUGGGGUAAUGGCCUACCAAGCCGACGAUCCAUAGCUGGUUUGAGAGGAUGAUCAGCCACACUGGGACUGAGACACGGCCCAGACUCCUACGGGAGGCAGCAGUGGGGAAUCUUAGACAAUGGGGGAAACCCUGAUCUAGCCAUGCCGCGUGAUCGGUGAAGGCCUUAGGGUUGUAAAGAUCUUUCAGGUGGGAAGAUAAUGACUGUACCACCAGAAGAAGCCCCGGCUAACUCCGUGCCAGCCGCCGCCGUAA
Molecule: ribosomal RNA, 449 nt
Filed under: uncultured bacterium
Lineage: Bacteria
Description: partial 16S ribosomal RNA
Rfam family: Bacterial small subunit ribosomal RNA
Source: RNAcentral